GAUGAAGAACGCAGCGAAAUGCGAUACUUGGUGUGAAUUGCAGAAUCCCGUGAACCAUCGAGUCUUUGAACGCAAGUUGCGCCCGAAGCCAUUAGGCCGAGGGCACGCCUGCCUGGGCGUCACACGUCGUUGCCCCCCCAUCUACUCCUUCGGGAUUGCGGGGGGCGGAUGAUGGCCUCCCGUGCGCCUCGUCGCGCGGUUGGCAUAAAUGCCAAGUCCUCGGCGACGCACGCCACGACAAUCGGUGGUUGCGAAACCUCGGUUGCCCGUCGUGUGCGGUCGUCGCGCAUCGAGGGCUCGAAAAAAUUGCCGGGCUCCGGCUCGGCUUUCAACGCGACCCCAGGUCAGGCGGGGUUACCCGCUGAAUUUAAGCAUAUCAAUAAGCGGAAGA
RNAcentral lists this unclassified non-coding RNA (391 nucleotides) under soil metagenome. RNAcentral describes it as "partial contains 5.8S ribosomal RNA, internal transcribed spacer 2, and large subunit ribosomal RNA". The stretch from base 1 to 122 matches the Rfam family "5.8S ribosomal RNA", at positions 35 to 154 of the family's 154-position model. The record is from RNAcentral.